UAAAUUUAAUUAUACACCACAUGCAGACAAAGUCUGGAAAGGUAACAAAUUGAGCCUUCAUUGCGGACCCUCUCGGGAAGAUAACGAACAUUUUAUUUUGUAUUUGAUAUUGGAAUGCAUAUUUCCAGCUUAUUCACCUGGCAUAUUGACUUCAUUCAAAACAUGUUUAAAGGUCAAGUGUAAUAAAAAUAGAUUUGAAAAUAAAGUUUAUAAUUCAUUAAAACCCGUUUUGAAAAGUUUAUUGAUGUGUUUAUUUAUUUAUUUUAAAUCCAGGUAAAUGCGCAAAAUACCUAUUCCAAAAUCGUUGUUUAUAGAAACGAAUGAAGGGAUUGUCACCCUUUCUUAUGACGUCAUCUGAGACAAUUGUAGUUGUUUACGCCUGUAUAUCAUCGUUUUAAUUUCUGUGAGAAAUUGCCAGUUUUAGCAACACCGUGGAUAGUGACGAUGAAAUACCGUAGAUACACUUGAGUUUAGGGAUUCAACCUUUAUAAUGAUGUCCAGUUAAUCAUCACUUUGCACUUUGUUUGGAGUCAAACAGGAUGAUGGAAACCUGAUCCUCGUUAAUUAAAGUGUCACUCACUGAU
This is a long non-coding RNA of Ostrea edulis (European flat oyster), 584 nucleotides long. RefSeq lists it as uncharacterized. The transcript has 2 exons. NCBI's taxonomy places the organism in Eukaryota, Metazoa, Mollusca, Bivalvia, Ostreida, Ostreidae. The record is from RefSeq and is a predicted model, not a curated record.